Non-coding RNA from Arachis ipaensis, 916 nucleotides. Lineage: Eukaryota; Viridiplantae; Streptophyta; Magnoliopsida; Fabales; Fabaceae. The record is from RefSeq and is a predicted model, not a curated record.
AGCUUCUUGUUCAUUAUCAUUUAAGAUUCUUAUGAUUUCUCUAGGAAGUAUAUUCCAAAAAUGAAAUUCUAUCUCAAGAUCUAAGCUAAUUUGAGUUAAGAAGUCAGCACAUUUAUUUCUCUCUUGGUAUAUAUUUACAAAAAGAACCUCCCAAUUUUUCUUUUUCCAGCAACUAAUUCUUCUCAAAAGGGCAUUUGGAUGUUUGCUCAAAUCCCAUUUUCCAUUAAUUUUGCUAAUUACCACUUGGGAGUCACACUGCACUACUAAUAUUUUUAAUGCCCAUAGUCCAUGCAACUUCAAUUCCUUCCUCAAUAUCCCAAAAUUUUACCUUGUACGCUGAACGAUUCCCAGCAAAAUGAGAGAAACCUACUACCCAUCUUCCGUUUGCAUCUCGCAGCAGCUCCCCGCAGCCAGCUUUGCUCGUGUUUCUGUCCCUUGAAUUGUCCGUGUUUAGCGCUGUCCAUUUAUCCUGGCAGUGGUGGAGUCCAACUCUAAUGUAGAUCUCCUCUCUUUUCUUCAUGUGUUGCAGAUUGUUAUUGAAGAAUUCUAUUGCAAUUUUAGUUUGAUAAGCUGCUUUUACAUUCUUGACACCUUUGGGCAGUCUCUGAUGGCGUGGAUAAUGUCCUCCUCACUAACGUUGCAAAUUAAGCAGAUUCCACUACUCCCAAAUAGAGGAGCUCUCCCUUGGUUGAUGUGAUAGGUCUUAUUGACGACCCUUUUCUUAUCUUUGGGUCACACAAAAGAUAUUACACUAACUUGAAUUGAAUUCCUAUUAUCGUGUAUAUAAUAGAUACUUUGUCAUUUAUGAUCACCCCUUUCGCUCUCUCUUUUAUUUCUUGUUUGACAGUGGAGCAAGUGAAUAAUAUGGGAAUAUGAAAACUACUUAUAAUACAUACAAAAAAAGGAUAAAAAAAGU